CACAGGGCGAGGGGGACCCAGAGCUCCUUCUUUAUCUGCACUUGGUUUGUACUUAGGGGAUGUGGGUAAAACCCACGUCACUUAGAGCAAACUGUUAGGUGGGUUGCAACACCUACGUGCUUACAUUACAAACACUUGUAACCCCAACAUUUGAGAAAUGGGGGCAGUCAACCUCUACUCCAUAGCACGCUCCAGGCCAGCCUGGGCUACCUGAUGCCCUGUCUCCAAAGACAAAACCAAACCAAAAGCUAAGUAAAAUAAAAUUUCAAAAUAGCAACCCAUGACAAUGCAGGCUCACUCACCCUGUGUUUGCUGAAGCCUCAUUAUAGUGAGAUAACCUGAAAUCUGGUUGCAUCCUAAAGAUUAGAGCUACAUAAUUCAUGGGGAUUACCGCAGUCUGAUGGCUGGCCUCUCCCCACGCGUGCUCGAGGACAGCGCGGGGACAUAUAUUCCAUUUCACACCCUACCUGCACAGGCACUGUGGUCAUUUUCUGUGUGGACUAAAUGGUAUAGAUCUGUUAGUGUGUCAGGAGCAAUAGGCAGUAGUCAAAAAAUCGUGCUAUUUAAAUCUUUUCUAUGUGUAAUGCUUAUGGCAUGAAGACUUUUGUAUUGAAUCGAGAUUUGUAUAUCUGACAGGUUCUAAAAUGCCAUAGUGAUUGUUCUUCAGCACCACGAAGAAAAUUCGAAGUUAAUUUUUUAAUUUACAGAAAAGUUCUCUUUUUAUCUUCAGAAUUGUCUCAUGGUCUAUUUAUACAUUGGAUGAUAUUUAUUUAAUCCAGUUUUGUAUUAGAAAUUGAUAGCUAUGCCAAAAGCCACUGUGCUGGCUUUCAAAAACAAUAAAAAUAGUUUUUGUAUUAUUUUGA
This 863-nucleotide long non-coding RNA is filed under the name Rattus norvegicus (Norway rat). RNAcentral describes it as "long non-coding RNA NONRATT013964". Lineage: Eukaryota; Metazoa; Chordata; Mammalia; Rodentia; Muridae. The record is from RNAcentral.